Molecule: long non-coding RNA, 429 nt
Organism: Gossypium arboreum
Lineage: Eukaryota; Viridiplantae; Streptophyta; Magnoliopsida; Malvales; Malvaceae
Exons: 2
Source: RefSeq, a predicted model, not a curated record
AGAAUUUCAUGUCUUUUGUAUUAAAGAAUUAAAUGGAUGAAAUAUGAAGUUUUAUUAAAAGAAAAAGGGGUGAAAAGAACAAAGUUUUGUCCAUCUUUGUUCAUCAUAGCUGAAAGUUAGAGAAGAGAAAGGAGAGGAGAAAGCUCUUGAGUAUUCGGUCAUUAGGAGGAGGAAAAUUGAAGGAAAUCCCCAACCAUAGUGGGCUUGGAGCUGUGAGGGAAUUCGGAGUGGCCACCCAUUCUGAAAGUUUGAUUUUCUUCUGGUGAACUGGACAUCCUUUUAUUUACGUUUGAAUUUUUUUGGGCUUUUAAAUGUAAUAAGGCCGCUUAAUUAUUUUUGAUGGUUUUAAUAUGUAUUACUAAGAUAGGUAAUACUUAUUUUAACUGUUGAAAUUGGAUAGCUUUAGGGCGCGUUUUCAAAAAACAACAA